UACGUAGGGGGCAAGCGUUGUCCGGAUUUAUUGGGCGUAAAGAGCGUGUAGGCGGCCACACAGGUCUGCUGUGAAAACUCGAGGCUCAACCUCGAGCUGUCGGUGGAAACCGUGUGGCUAGAGUCCGGAAGAGGAGAGUGGAAUUCCCGGUGUAGCGGUGAAAUGCGCAGAUAUCGGGAGGAACACCUGUGGCGAAAGCGGCUCACUGGACCACAACUGACGCUGAGGCGCGAAAGCUAGGGGAGCAAACAGG
This 253-nucleotide ribosomal RNA is filed under the name uncultured bacterium. RNAcentral describes it as "partial 16S ribosomal RNA". It matches the Rfam family "Bacterial small subunit ribosomal RNA", at positions 524 to 776 of the family's 1533-position model. The record is from RNAcentral.